GUGCCAGCCGCCGCGGUAAGACGAACCGUGCAAACGUUGUUCGGAUUCACUGGGCUUAAAGGGCGCGUAGGCGGGUGGUCAAGUCAGGGGUGAAAUCCUCCAGCUCAACUGGAGAACAGCUUUUGAUACUGGCCAUCUUGAGGGAGGUAGGGGCAUGUGGAACUUCCGGUGGAGCGGUGAAAUGCGUAGAUAUCGGAAGGAACGCCGGUGGCGAAAGCGACGUGCUGGACCUUUUCUGACGCUGAGGCGCGAAAGCCAGGGGAGCAAACGGGAUUAGAUACCCCCGUAGUCC
Molecule: ribosomal RNA, 292 nt
Filed under: uncultured bacterium
Lineage: Bacteria
Description: partial 16S ribosomal RNA
Rfam family: Bacterial small subunit ribosomal RNA
Source: RNAcentral